This 275-nucleotide ribosomal RNA is filed under the name uncultured bacterium. Its description in RNAcentral is "partial 16S ribosomal RNA". It matches the Rfam family "Bacterial small subunit ribosomal RNA", at positions 79 to 353 of the family's 1533-position model. The record is from RNAcentral.
CUAAGCUUGAUGGCGACCGGCGCACGGGUGAGUAACACGUAUCCAACCUGCCGAUGACUCGGGGAUAGCCUUUCGAAAGAAAGAUUAAUACCCGAUGGCAUAGUUCUUCCGCAUGGUAGAACUAUUAAAGGAUUUCGGUCAUCGAUGGGGAUGCGUUCCAUUAGGUUGUUGGCGGGGUAACGGCCCACCAAGCCUUCGAUGGAUAGGGGUUCUGAGAGGAAGGUCCCCCACAUUGGAACUGAGACACGGUCCAAACUCCUACGGGAGGCAGCAUG